Non-coding RNA from Nicotiana tabacum (common tobacco), 501 nucleotides. NCBI's taxonomy places the organism in Eukaryota, Viridiplantae, Streptophyta, Magnoliopsida, Solanales, Solanaceae. The record is from RefSeq and is a predicted model, not a curated record.
UUCUACAUUCUCAUUCAAGCCACAAAGCUCUUCCUUCCCCCCUUCAAAAAAACCCACACCCAAACAAAGAAAAACCCACAUUCAUCAUCUCUCUAAGUUCUUAAAAUUUCAUUUGUGGAGCUGUAGGAGCUUAACUUUAUUUGUGUAAUCGCCAUCAUUAUUUGAAGAGAUGGGAGAAAUGACUAGCUUUCAGUUGGGUGUGGUGGGAGCACUGUUCCUAUCUGUGGCAUCUUCAGUUUCUAUUGUUAUUUGCAACAAAGCUUUGAUGAGUAAUCUUGGUUUUCCCUUUGCCACAACAUUAACAAGUUGGCAUCUAAUGGUGACAUAUUGCACACUCCACGUGGCACUGAAAUUCAAUUUCUUUGAAAACAAGCCUAUUGAUAUGAAGACUGUGAUGCUUUUUGGUAUCUUAAAUGGUGUAUCCAUUGGCUUUCUCAACCUUAGCCUUGGCUUUAAUUCCAUUGGCUUCUAUCAGGUAUAAAUCAAUGUCAAACUAUUACU